GACGAACGCUGGCGGCGUGCUUAACACAUGCAAGUCGAACGGAAAGGUCCGGCUUUUGCGGGGUGCACGUGUGGGGAAGGGGUGAGUAACACGUGAGUAACCUCCCCCUGUCUUAGGGAUAUCAUCAGGAAACUGGGGCUAAUACAGGAUAGGAGCUCCUGCUGCACGGGGGGGGUUGGAAAGAUUCGGCGGUUGGGGCUGGACUAGCGGCUUAUCAGCUUGUUGGUGAGGUAGGGGCUGACCACGGCUAUGACGGGUAGCCCACAUGAGAGGGGAACCAGGGACAAUAGUACUGAGGUACGGAGCAGAAUCCAACGGGAGGCAGCGGUGGAAAGUAUUGCACAAUGGGCGGACGCCAGAUGCAGCAACCCCGCGUGCGGGAUGACGGGCUUCGGGUGGUAAACCGCUUUCGCCUGUGACGAGGCGUGAGUGACGGUAAUUAGUAAAGAAGCACCGGCUAACUACGUG
Molecule: ribosomal RNA, 468 nt
Filed under: uncultured bacterium
Lineage: Bacteria
Description: partial 16S ribosomal RNA
Rfam family: Bacterial small subunit ribosomal RNA
Source: RNAcentral